RNAcentral lists this ribosomal RNA (200 nucleotides) under uncultured bacterium. RNAcentral's name for it is "partial 16S ribosomal RNA". It matches the Rfam family "Bacterial small subunit ribosomal RNA", at positions 328 to 539 of the family's 1533-position model. The record is from RNAcentral.
ACGCUCGACACCUACGGAGGCAGCAGUCGGGAAUAUUGCGCAAUGGAGGAAACUCUGACGCAGUGACGCCGCGUGCAGGAAGAAGGUUUUCGGAUUGUAAACUGCUUUAGACAGGGAAGAAAGAAAUGACAGUACCUGUAGAAUAAGCUCCGGCUAACUACGUGCCGGCAGCCGCGGUAAUCUGAGCGGGCUGGCAAGGC